CCCUAUGGGGUGCAGCAAUGGCUCAGAAGAUUAAAACGAGGCUGCAAGACCUAGAGGCAGCGAUUACCCUUGAAGAGGUAAGAUUUUUCUUCCAGGUCGAUGUCAUGAGCUUACAGGCAACCGGACUGAACAAUUGGCUAUGGAUCUGAUUCAUCCUUACCGACUUGUCUUUGUUCCCAAUCAUGAUCCAGUCCCCUUGAAACUGGGCAAAGGUUUGGAUUGGAAAAAAGUGACAAGCGUCCUCAUCGUGGAAAUAUGCGAUUAUCAUUAAAAGGGAAAGAAUGAUGGCAAAAAAAACACAAUACUUUUAUGAUCCCGAUUACGCAACUCUGCCGGGACAAACGAUACUGGACAAGAUUGAAGAGAUGGGAAUGACCCAACAGGAAUUGGCGGGAGAGC
This 399-nucleotide ribosomal RNA is filed under the name uncultured prokaryote. Its description in RNAcentral is "partial 16S ribosomal RNA". The record is from RNAcentral.